This 511-nucleotide long non-coding RNA is filed under the name Oryctolagus cuniculus (rabbit). Its description in RNAcentral is "lncRNA (ENSOCUG00000035388.1)". Lineage: Eukaryota; Metazoa; Chordata; Mammalia; Lagomorpha; Leporidae. The record is from RNAcentral.
AACCCCUGAGAAAUGAAGGAGAGCAACAGAAGAGCCAGCUUUGGAGUUCCCACUGUGGAUUUUGUUACAAAAAUGUGUGGACUGGACAUCAAGUUUGACUCUUACUCGUGGCAAAUGAUAAUGCUGGAUCUGUGGCAACGAGACAAAAGCAGCACAUCUUGUUAGAUGUUAAAAUGUAGAAAAAAAUGUAGGUUCUGUAGCAGUUCAAGUGUCUUUUAAGGAAAUGACUCAGGAAAGAAGUCAUGAAAAGGAGGGUAAAUGUCCUUUGAAAUCAUGAAAAAUAUCCUAGUGUGGGGAGCAACUCGGACUACACUAAGUUACUGGAAUUAAGACUUAUUCUAUGCAUCUGCUCUCCCACAAUAUGGCGCUGGGAGAGGAGUAAACAGCUUUUACGCAGCUGUCUCUCACCAACUUGAGUGAUGACCUGCAGGAGCUGAUCCUGCUCCUGAUUGGAGGAGAGCAGCGUACUCGGCGUGUGGGUAGCAGAGUUGGGAUUGGUGGAAGAGGACUA